AGGACUGGUGCCUCACACCGUCCAACAUAAAGUUAGGAAAGCUACUUAAUACUCUUGCACAUUCAGCUUUUAGAUGCAAGCAUGUAGACUCUUCAUUUGGCUUCACUGUAAGUUUCAACAGUGAAGAAAUAUGCCCUGACAACCACGUGAAGCUAGAAGAAACUCUACACAACCCUAAUUCUACAGUGUUGUCAAAUGAAAUCAAUAAAUCAUCCUUUCAUUGAAAGACCUUAAGCCUUGAGGUUACUUUCUAUAAAUUACAAGUGUGGCUGGCUGUUUCAGAGGCUGAAGAAAUCAAGAAGGAACUCUUUCUGGUGAUCCACUCUACUGAGGGUCAGCUUUUGGCCUUUUCUUGGUUCAUCCAUAAUGCCAAGUCAUGGAAAAUCUUGCCCAAUCUGCUUUCCCAGGCUGCUUCUUACCACAUCAAAUAGAAAACUAAAUGUGUCUAAAAGAAAUCUUGCCUCACUGGCAGCUUUCUGCUUGAUGUGACUCUUGCACGAACUCUGAGGUCUCCUAAUACAGUGCUUCCAUCUGCUAUUGAUCUUCCUCCAUGAACAAGGCAUCGAGUGAACAUACUUGACCUUCUCUAAAGUCCACCGUGGCCUGUAGAGCUCACCCUCCAAAUUAGUGACCGAUGGAACAUUUCUGAAAGUAUCAGUCAGCCUGAAUCCUCCUG
This 676-nucleotide long non-coding RNA is filed under the name Equus caballus (horse). Its description in RNAcentral is "lncRNA (ENSECAG00000059093.1)". The record is from RNAcentral. Lineage: Eukaryota; Metazoa; Chordata; Mammalia; Perissodactyla; Equidae.